Molecule: RNase P RNA, 401 nt
Filed under: Phormidesmis sp. RL_2_1
Lineage: Bacteria; Bacillati; Cyanobacteriota; Cyanophyceae; Leptolyngbyales; Leptolyngbyaceae
Description: RNase P RNA component class A
Rfam family: Bacterial RNase P class A
About the family: Ribonuclease P (RNase P) is a ubiquitous endoribonuclease, found in archaea, bacteria and eukarya as well as chloroplasts and mitochondria. Its best characterised activity is the generation of mature 5'-ends of tRNAs by cleaving the 5'-leader elements of precursor-tRNAs. Cellular RNase Ps are ribonucleoproteins.
Source: RNAcentral
AGAGCUGGCUCAGUGGUUGCGGAAAUAAAAAGAGGUGAGUCGCCCUUUUUAUUUUUGAGGAAAGUCCGGGCUCCCUAAAAGCCAAACUUGCUGGGUAACGCCCAGUGCGGGUGACCGUGAGGAGAGUGCCACAGAAACAUACCGCCGAUGGAAAGUCUGACUUUCACAGGCAAGGGUGCAAGGGUGCGGUAAGAGCGCACCGGCAGCAUCGAGAGGUGCUGGCCAGGUAAACCCCGGUUGGGUGCAAGGCCAAAGGAGCGACGGUUGGCUUUUUACCAGCUCCGCAAAAGCGCGCCGCUUGAGGCGUCUGGUAACAGGCGUCCCAGAUAGAUAACCACCUUAUGCUGACAGCGUAAGCUAGAGGCAUGGGAACAGAACCCGGCUUAGGUCCAGCUCUACCU